UGUUACAAAAUUAGAUUGAAAUUAUAAUAUGUUUAUAGUUCAUGUUUUUUCUUUACAUAGAAUC
Molecule: non-coding RNA, 64 nt
Filed under: Thalassionema frauenfeldii
Lineage: Eukaryota; Bacillariophyta; Fragilariophyceae; Thalassionematales; Thalassionemataceae
Source: RNAcentral